AAGAGUUUCUGAUUUUGGAUUGUCCAGAAUAGGAUUGAGUGACAAUGCAGUUAGUACUGCAGUAAAAGGGACCUGGGGAUAUUUGGAUCCGGAAUAUGCACGAUUUCAGCAAUUGACAGCAAAAUCUGAUGUUUACUCGUUUGGUGUGGUUCUAUUUGAAGUAUUAUGUGGUCGAAAACCACUCGAUCACAAGUUAGAGCAUAAGGAGAAGAAUUUAGCCAAUUGGGCACAAGAAUGCAUUCAAAAUGGCACCAUUUACCUCAUUAUUGAUCCAUAUCUGAAGGCCAAGAUUGCUCCAGAGUGUUUCACAAAAUUCGUGGAAAUUGCAGAAAGUUGUGUGCGUAAUCAAGGAAGUGAAAGGCCCACCAUGCAGGAUGUGAUGGGAGAGCUUGAGUUUGCAUUGGAGCUACAAGAGACUGCUGAUGCUGACAAGGAAAGAAUCAAUCCUGGGGGUGAAUAUGUGUAUCCUGAAGUAUCAUUCAAUGCUCCUAGUCCUAGAUGUACCAAUCCUGGUGGAUGCGAGUUUGAACAAGUUAGUACAAGUGGUUACACUUCAUGGGAUACAAACAACGCUACACCGUGUUCCAG
This 588-nucleotide unclassified non-coding RNA is filed under the name Hevea brasiliensis (rubber tree). The record is from RNAcentral. Lineage: Eukaryota; Viridiplantae; Streptophyta; Magnoliopsida; Malpighiales; Euphorbiaceae.